RNAcentral lists this ribosomal RNA (253 nucleotides) under uncultured bacterium. Its description in RNAcentral is "partial 16S ribosomal RNA". It matches the Rfam family "Bacterial small subunit ribosomal RNA", at positions 524 to 776 of the family's 1533-position model. The record is from RNAcentral.
GACGUAGGGGGCAAGCGUUAUUCGGAAUUACUGGGCGUAAAGCGCACGUAGGCGGCUUUGUAAGUUAGAGGUGAAAGCCCAGGGCUUAACCCUGGAAUUGCCUUUAAGACUGCAUCGCUAGAAUCGUGGAGAGGUGAGUGGAAUUCCGAGUGUAGAGGUGAAAUUCGUAGAUAUUCGGAAGAACACCAGUGGCGAAGGCGACUCACUGGACACGUAUUGACGCUGAGGUGCGAAAGCGUGGGGAGCAAACAGG